AAGGCGCUUGAGAGAACUCUGGAGCAGGAACUCGGCAAAUUGACACCGUAACUUCGGAAGAAGGUGUGCCUUUAGUAGGUGAUCCAUUUACUUGGUGAGCCCAAUGAGGCCGCAGAGAAUCGGUGGCUGCAACUGUUUAAUAAAAACACAGCACUCUGCAAAGACGAAAGUCGACGUAUAGGGUGUGACGCCUGCCCGGUGCUGGAUAUUAAAUGAUGGGGUGCAAGCUCUUGAUUGAAGUCCCAGUAAACGGCGGCCGUAACGAUAACGGUCCUAAGGUAGCGAAAUUCCUUGUCGGGUAAGUUCCGACCUGCACGAAUGGCGUAAUGAUGGCCACACUGUCUCCUCCAGAGACUCAGCGAAGUUGAAAUGUUUGUGAUGAUGCAAUCUCCCCGCGGAAAGACGGAAAGACCCCAUGAACCUUUACUGUAGCUUUACAUUGGACUUUGAACAGAUCUGUGUAGGAUAGGUGGGAGGCUUUGAAGCGGUGCCGCUAGGUGUCGUGGAGCCAACCUUGAAAUACCACCCUGGUGUGUUUGAGGUUCUAACCUUGGCCCGUUAUCCGGGUUGGGGACAGUGUAUGGUGGGCAGUUUGACUGGGGCGGUCUCCUCCCAAAGUGUAACGGAGGAGUUCGAAGGUACGCUAAAUACGGUCGGAAAUCGUGUUGAUAGUGCAUUGGCAUAAGCGUGCUUGACUGCGAGACUGACAAGUCGAGCAGGUACGAAAGUAGGACAAAGUGAUCCGGUGGUUCUGUAUGGAAGGGCCAUCGCUCAACGGAUAAAAGGUACUCUGGGGAUAACAGGCUGAUACCGCCCAAGAGUUCAUAUCGACGGCGGUGUUUGGCACCUCGAUGUCGGCUCAUCUCAUCCUGGGGCUGUAGCCGGUCCCAAGGGUAUGGCUGUUCGCCAUUUAAAGAGGUACGUGAGCUGGGUUUAAAACGUCGUGAGACAGUUUGGUCCCUAUCUUCCGUGGGCGCUGCAAGAUUGAGAGAGCCUGCUCCUAGUACGAGAGGACCGGAGUGGACGCACCUCUGGUGUAUCGGUUGUCACGCCAGUGGCAUUGCCGAGUAGCUAAGUGCGGAAGAGAUAACCGCUGAAAGCAUCUAAGCGGGAAACUCGUCUCAAGAUGAGUCUUGCCGGGGCCUUGAGCCCCCUGAAGGGUCGUUCGAGACCAGGACGUUGAUAGGUCGGGUGUGGAAGCGCAGUAAUGCGUUAAGCUAACCGAUACUAAUUGCCCGUGAGGCUU
RNAcentral lists this ribosomal RNA (1246 nucleotides) under metagenome. Its description in RNAcentral is "bacterial LSU rRNA". It matches the Rfam family "Bacterial large subunit ribosomal RNA", at positions 1683 to 2925 of the family's 2925-position model. The record is from RNAcentral.